Long non-coding RNA from Hemicordylus capensis (graceful crag lizard), 387 nucleotides. RefSeq lists it as uncharacterized. The record is from RefSeq and is a predicted model, not a curated record. NCBI's taxonomy places the organism in Eukaryota, Metazoa, Chordata, Lepidosauria, Squamata, Cordylidae. The transcript is spliced from 3 exons.
CCAAGUCUGAUAAUGGCGCGCUACUGCCUGCUUUUCCUUGCUAUGAAUGAAUGGAGCGGUGGGAGCAGGGAGAACUCGCGGUGGGUAGGGGCGCCCAGCGCGCCAGAACCCAGCGGUGUGACAGAUACGUAGUGCAUGCGCGUGUGCAGCAGUGUGUGAGUUAUCCUCGGCAUGACAGUGUGUGUGUACCUUGAGCGUGUUGAAGUGCAGCAGGGGUAGGAUGAGCCUUGUGCAAUUCAUCUAAGCUGAUGCCAUCAAAACAUCACUCCCUUGUGAAGGCGUCCAGCCCUGGGAUUUGUGAAAAAGAGGCUACCUCUGAGCAUACACAGAGGAUUUUUCCUCAUCAUUGAGGAUCCACAGCCAGCCCUGACACAUAUGGAACUAGAG